GCACUCAUGGCGGAAUUGGCAGACGCGCAAGACUAAGGAUCUUGUGGAGCGAUCCAUGCAGGUUCAACUCCUGUUGAGUGCACCA
This 85-nucleotide transfer RNA is filed under the name Oscillospiraceae bacterium. RNAcentral's name for it is "tRNA-Leu". It matches the Rfam family "tRNA". From Rfam's summary of the family: Transfer RNA (tRNA) molecules are approximately 80 nucleotides in length. Their secondary structure includes four short double-helical elements and three loops (D, anti-codon, and T loops). Further hydrogen bonds mediate the characteristic L-shaped molecular structure. tRNAs have two regions of fundamental functional importance: the anti-codon, which is responsible for specific mRNA codon recognition, and the 3' end, to which the tRNAs corresponding amino acid is attached (by aminoacyl-tRNA synthetases). tRNAs cope with the degeneracy of the genetic code in two manners: having more than one tRNA (with a specific anti-codon) for a particular amino acid; and 'wobble' base-pairing, i.e. permitting non-standard base-pairing at the 3rd anti-codon position. Lineage: Bacteria; Bacillati; Bacillota; Clostridia; Eubacteriales; Oscillospiraceae. RNAcentral also lists the same sequence under 3 other names. The record is from RNAcentral.